CCGCGCCCGAGGAGGACCGCCGAGGCCGGGCGGCCGGGCAUGCGCCGCGCCGGGAUGCACGGGUGCUGGGGCCAGACCGCGCCCGCCCCUGCGCCGGAUCCGAGGCCGAGGCCGCGCCCUUGCCUGGAGGACCGCCGAGGAGCCAGCCGUGGAGCCGCGCCCGAGGAGGAACGCCAAGGCCGGGCGGCCGGGCACGCGCCGCGCCGGGAUGCACGGGUGCUGGGGCCAGACCGCGCCCGCCCCUGCGCCGGAUCCGAGGCCGCGCCCUUGCCUGGAGGACCGCCGAGGAGCCAGCCAUGGAGCCGCGCCCGAGGAG
RNAcentral lists this unclassified non-coding RNA (316 nucleotides) under Zea mays. RNAcentral describes it as "misc RNA Zm00001eb243090". Lineage: Eukaryota; Viridiplantae; Streptophyta; Magnoliopsida; Poales; Poaceae. The record is from RNAcentral.